Long non-coding RNA from Lutra lutra (Eurasian river otter), 147 nucleotides. RefSeq lists it as uncharacterized. NCBI's taxonomy places the organism in Eukaryota, Metazoa, Chordata, Mammalia, Carnivora, Mustelidae. The transcript has 3 exons. The record is from RefSeq and is a predicted model, not a curated record.
GAGGGAGAGGGGGAAGCAGGCUUCCUGCUGAGCAGGGAGCCCAAUGCAGGGCUUGAUCCCAGAACUCUGAGAUCAUGACCUGAGCCAAGGACAGGCGCUUAACUGAGUGAGCACCCCCCUCAGUCACCCCCAAUCUGGUACCUUGUU